This 459-nucleotide ribosomal RNA is filed under the name uncultured Planococcus sp. RNAcentral describes it as "bacterial SSU rRNA". It matches the Rfam family "Bacterial small subunit ribosomal RNA", at positions 923 to 1382 of the family's 1533-position model. Lineage: Bacteria; Bacillati; Bacillota; Bacilli; Caryophanales; Caryophanaceae. The record is from RNAcentral.
GCACAAGCGGUGGAGCAUGUGGUUAAUUCGAAGCAACGCGAAGAACCUUACCAGGUCUUGACAUCCCGCUGACCGCCUAGGAGACUAGGCUUUCCCUUCGGGGACAGCGGUGACAGGUGGUGCAUGGUUGUCGUCAGCUCGUGUCGUGAGAUGUUGGGUUAAGUCCCGCAACGAGCGCAACCCUUGAUCUUAGUUGCCAGCAUUCAGUUGGGCACUCUAAGGUGACUGCCGGUGACAAACCGGAGGAAGGUGGGGAUGACGUCAAAUCAUCAUGCCCCUUAUGACCUGGGCUACACACGUGCUACAAUGGACGGUACAAAGGGCUGCAAACCCGCGAGGGGGAGCCAAUCCCAUAAAACCGUUCUCAGUUCGGAUUGCAGGCUGCAACUCGCCUGCAUGAAGCCGGAAUCGCUAGUAAUCGCGGAUCAGCAUGCCGCGGUGAAUACGUUCCCGGGCCUU